CCUACGGGAGGCAGCAGUGGGGAAUAUUGGACAAUGGGGGGAACCCUGAUCCAGCGACGCCGCGUGAGUGAAGAAGUAUUUCGGUAUGUAAAGCUCUAUCAGCAGGGAAGAAAGAAAUGACGGUACCUGACUAAGAAGCCCCGGCUAACUACGUGCAAGCAGCCGCGGUAAUACGUAGGGGGCAAGCGUUAUCCGGAUUUACUGGGUGUAAAGGGAGCGUAGCCGGUUACGCAAGUCUGGAGUGAAAGUCGGGGGCUCAACCCCAGGACUGCAUUGGAAACUGUAUAACUGGAGUGCAGGAGAGGUAAGUGGAAUUCCUAGUGUAGCGGUGAAAUGCGUAGAUAUUAGGAGGAACACCAGUGGCGAAGGCGGCUUACUGGACUGUAACUGACGUUGAGGCUCGAAAGCGUGGGGAGCAAACAGGAUUAGAUACCCGAGUAGUC
RNAcentral lists this ribosomal RNA (443 nucleotides) under uncultured bacterium. RNAcentral's name for it is "partial 16S ribosomal RNA". It matches the Rfam family "Bacterial small subunit ribosomal RNA", at positions 338 to 795 of the family's 1533-position model. The record is from RNAcentral.